UCCCUGGUGGUCCAGUGGCUAAGCUGCUGCACUCCCAACGCAGGGGACUCAGGUUCGAGCCCUGGUCUGGGAA
This 73-nucleotide transfer RNA is filed under the name Bos taurus (domestic cattle). It matches the Rfam family "tRNA". Rfam says of the family: Transfer RNA (tRNA) molecules are approximately 80 nucleotides in length. Their secondary structure includes four short double-helical elements and three loops (D, anti-codon, and T loops). Lineage: Eukaryota; Metazoa; Chordata; Mammalia; Artiodactyla; Bovidae. RNAcentral also lists the same sequence under 2 other names. The record is from Rfam by way of RNAcentral.